UGUUCCUACGGGGGGCAGCAGUGGGGAAUAUUGGGCAAUGGGCGCAAGCCUGACCCAGCAACGCCGCGUGAAGGAAGAAGGCUUUCGGGUUGUAAACUUCUUUUCUCAGGGACGAAGCAAGUGACGGUACCUGAGGAAUAAGCCACGGCUAACUACGCGCCAGCAGCCGCGGUAAUACGUAGGUGGCAAGCGUUAUCCGGAUUUACUGGGCGUAAAGCGAGUGCAGGCGGUUCAAUAA
Molecule: ribosomal RNA, 238 nt
Filed under: uncultured bacterium
Lineage: Bacteria
Description: partial 16S ribosomal RNA
Rfam family: Bacterial small subunit ribosomal RNA
Source: RNAcentral